UUUCCCUCUGUAUGCCCAUUGCAUGGAUGUC
Molecule: non-coding RNA, 31 nt
Filed under: Homo sapiens (human)
Lineage: Eukaryota; Metazoa; Chordata; Mammalia; Primates; Hominidae
Source: RNAcentral